UACGUAGGGUGCAAGCGUUGUCCGGAUUUAUUGGGCGUAAAGCGUCCGUAGGCGGUUUUGAAAGUCUGGUGUUAAAGGCUGGAGCUCAACUCCAGUAGGGCAUUGGAAACUACUUAACUAGAGUGCAAUAGGGGAAGCUGGAAUUUCCGGUGUAGCGGUGAAAUGCGUAGAUAUCGGAAGGAACACCAGUGGCGAAAGCGGGCUUCUGGAUUGCAACUGACGCUGAUGGACGAAAGCUAGGGGAGCGAAAGGG
This 253-nucleotide ribosomal RNA is filed under the name uncultured bacterium. Its description in RNAcentral is "partial 16S ribosomal RNA". It matches the Rfam family "Bacterial small subunit ribosomal RNA", at positions 524 to 776 of the family's 1533-position model. The record is from RNAcentral.